GCCGGAGUGGUGAAACUGGUAGACGCAGGGGACUCAAAAUCCCCCGACCCUCGCGGUCAUGUCGGUUCAAUUCCGACCUCCGGCACCA
This 88-nucleotide transfer RNA is filed under the name Deltaproteobacteria bacterium RBG_13_43_22. RNAcentral's name for it is "tRNA-Leu". It matches the Rfam family "tRNA". Rfam says of the family: Transfer RNA (tRNA) molecules are approximately 80 nucleotides in length. Their secondary structure includes four short double-helical elements and three loops (D, anti-codon, and T loops). RNAcentral also lists the same sequence under 3 other names. Lineage: Bacteria; Deltaproteobacteria. The record is from RNAcentral.